Molecule: transfer RNA, 65 nt
Filed under: Alitta succinea
Lineage: Eukaryota; Metazoa; Annelida; Polychaeta; Phyllodocida; Nereididae
Description: tRNA-Ile
Source: RNAcentral
GAUGCCGCGCCGGAAGAACGGAUAACUUUGAUGACGUUAAAUAUGUGGUAACACCUCCGGCAUCU